This 1520-nucleotide long non-coding RNA is filed under the name Piliocolobus tephrosceles (Ugandan red Colobus). RNAcentral describes it as "lncRNA (ENSPTEG00000025431.1)". Lineage: Eukaryota; Metazoa; Chordata; Mammalia; Primates; Cercopithecidae. The record is from RNAcentral.
CCCACACUCACGGUCUUGCUGAUUGCACCUGGCUCCUACCUGGAGGACUCAGCUGUUCUGUUUAUAUCGUGGUGGCGCCUCUCACCCUGACCACACAAAGAUUCUGGAGAGUUCUGGAGAAUGUAUAUAUAUCCUUGUGGUUCAAGUCCCUCUUCACAAGAACUCCAAAGCUGGAAAGCAGGAGGGAACAGGUGAAAAUGAAGGCCAGGAUGCUGGGGCCCUCGGGACUGCCCACGGCCUGCUGGGGGCUGCUCUUCUCCGGCCCGGGAAAGUGGGGCAGCUGGGACCUGCGGCUGUGCCUGGACUGAAGCUGUCCUGCAGGUCCCCACCCUCCAGCACGAGCUCACCUGCCCCCUCCUCACAGCAACCUCGGGACAAAACAAUGACUCAAGGACAGCACUUCCUGCAGAAGGUCUGGAAGUGCCCAGAAUGGGAGGCUGGGAAGCCCCUCCUGGGGAGAACUCCCCCAUCGAUGGACCAUUCUUGGUGCAGACUCCUGACUGCAUGCAUGGAACCUUAGACAAGUGAGCAUCCGUCCACGUCGCCCCAGAGUGCCCAGGAGGCAGGCAGCGCAGGGCGCCCAGGCAGACAGGUUCAGCCUGCAGGACUGUGACCUGUGAAACCCCCCCGGGCACCCCAACAGGAGCAGAAGCGAGGUCCCGCGGCCGCGUCCACAGCGAGUUCCACUUUCCCCUUGCUCGCUUCUGCCUUGUUGGAAGUGUUUACAACUGGAUGUGAUUUUAUAAUACAACGUCAGGUAAGAGGAGAACAGCUGUUGUGCGUUAGUCCUGGUGAGUGACCAUGUGAGGGAAGCCUGGGCGAGGCGCUCGGAGGGCAGUGGCUGGACAGGGGCUCCUGGUGGGGCCUGGACAGCACUGAUUUGUGGAUGUGGAUGGGACACAUACGUGAUAAAAGUACAAGUGCCUCUCGCCACCCUUGGGGAUUGCUCUCCAGUACCCUUUGUGGCCCUGGGCCGCAAACCACACAGUCUUGGCCCUGAACUCCCCCAGUGAGUAAGGGCUCUGGCCCGGUGGUGUCUUGAGGUCCUGUUAGUACACGGGGCCCUACAAGGUGCACAGCCCACUGGGGCAGAGCUGGGCCUGUUCGGAGACACACCUGGACCUUCUUAGGGCCCUGGCUUCGUCCUACAAAUGAGGAGCUCUGGAAAAGGACAAAGUCCCGGAGGCUGAGAGGUGGGGCGGGCUCCCAGUGCCCGGCAGGGACCUAGACCCUGAGUUCCCGGGGGGUCCACAGGGCCCUCAGGCCCAGGGAAGGCUCUCCCACCAGUGAUUUCCAAACUUCCCUCCCUGUCCCCCAUCCAGGGCUGCAGGGACUUGGCCCAGGCACCAUGGGCUGCUGGUAUCUGAGUGGACCUUGAAGACCAAGAUGCCCCCAAGCCCUACCCCACCCACCUGCUGCGUCCCUAGGCGGCGGGGCCUUCCUCGCAUCCCCACAGCCCGUUUCCCGCUCUCCCCGGGGUCCUCUGACUGACCGCCGGACGUCAGGCCCCGAGUGUGGCA